RNAcentral lists this ribosomal RNA (18 nucleotides) under Vibrio alginolyticus. Its description in RNAcentral is "partial 23S ribosomal RNA". The record is from RNAcentral. Lineage: Bacteria; Pseudomonadati; Pseudomonadota; Gammaproteobacteria; Vibrionales; Vibrionaceae.
GGUUAAGUGACUCAGCGA